UCCCAUCCUCGUCGUGUGUAGCUGU
This 25-nucleotide non-coding RNA is filed under the name Cricetulus griseus (Chinese hamster). Lineage: Eukaryota; Metazoa; Chordata; Mammalia; Rodentia; Cricetidae. The record is from RNAcentral.